This 133-nucleotide ribosomal RNA is filed under the name Psammosilene tunicoides. RNAcentral describes it as "5.8S ribosomal RNA". It matches the Rfam family "5.8S ribosomal RNA", at positions 31 to 154 of the family's 154-position model. From Rfam's summary of the family: 5.8S ribosomal RNA (5.8S rRNA) is a component of the large subunit of the eukaryotic ribosome. It is transcribed by RNA polymerase I as part of the 45S precursor that also contains 18S and 28S rRNA. Functionally, it is thought that 5.8S rRNA may be involved in ribosome translocation. The record is from RNAcentral. Lineage: Eukaryota; Viridiplantae; Streptophyta; Magnoliopsida; Caryophyllales; Caryophyllaceae.
CAUCGAUGAAGAACGUAGCGAAAUGCGAUACUUGGUGUGAAUUGCAGAAUCCCGUGAACCAUCGAGUCUUUGAACGCAAGUUGCGCCCGAAGCCUUUGGCUGAGGGCACGUCUGCCUGGGCGUCACGCAUCGC